RNAcentral lists this ribosomal RNA (253 nucleotides) under uncultured bacterium. RNAcentral's name for it is "partial 16S ribosomal RNA". It matches the Rfam family "Archaeal small subunit ribosomal RNA", at positions 474 to 727 of the family's 1478-position model. The record is from RNAcentral.
UACCAGCACCCCGAGUGGUCGGGACGAUUAUUGGGCCUAAAGCAUCCGUAGCCGGCCUUACAAGUCCUCCGUUAAAUCCAGCUGCUUAACAGAUGGGCUGCGGAGGAUACUAUAAGACUAGGAGGCAGGAGAGGCAAGCGGUACUCAGUGGGUAGGGGUAAAAUCCGUUGAUCCAUUGAAGACCACCAGUGGCGAAGGCGGCUUGCCAGAAUGCGCCCGACGGUGAGGGAUGAAAGCUGGGGGAGCAAACCGG